GCUUUCGGGUGCCGAGUAGAGUGGCGAACGGGUGAGUAAUGCGUGGAUAACCUGCCUUCGAGAGGGGGAUAACGUCUCGAAAGGGACGCUAAUACCGCAUGAUGUUCGCGGUCUCCUGGCUGCGAACCAAAGAUGGCCUCUGCAAGCAAGCUGUCGCUCGGAGAGGGGUUCACGUCCUACUAGCUUGUUGGUGAGGUAACGGCUCACCAAGGCAGCGAUGGGUAGCCGGCCUGAGAGGGUGUCCGGCCACACUGGGACUGAGACACUGCCCAGACUCCUACGGGAGGCUGCAGUCGAGAAUCUUCCGCAAUGCGCGCAAGCGUGACGGAGCGACGCCGCGUGGGUGAUGAAGGCCUUCGGGUUGUAAAGCCCUGUUGCCUGCGAAGAACGUCGGACGGUGAAUAGCCGUUCCGACUGACGUCAGCAGGCGAGAAAGCACCGGCUAAAUACGUGCCAGCAGCCGCGGUAAUACGUAUGGUGCAAACGUUGUUCGGAAUCACUGGGCAUAAAGAGCACGUAGGCGGUCUGGUAAGUCUGACUGUGAAAUCCCUCGGCUCAACCGAGGAACUGCAUCGGAUACUGCCGGACUCGAGUACGGUAGGGGAGAGUGGAAUUCCUGGUGGAGCGGUGAAAUGCGUAGAUAUCAGGAGGAACACCAGUGGCGAAAGCGACUCUCUGGGCCGUAACUGACGCUGAGGUGCGAAAGCCA
RNAcentral lists this ribosomal RNA (709 nucleotides) under uncultured Planctomycetota bacterium. RNAcentral describes it as "bacterial SSU rRNA". It matches the Rfam family "Bacterial small subunit ribosomal RNA", at positions 75 to 762 of the family's 1533-position model. The record is from RNAcentral. Lineage: Bacteria; Pseudomonadati; Planctomycetota.